AUGCCUUUGUCCAUGCCUUCCUCAUCUCCUGGAGGUGACUUUGUCUGUGUGUUCCUCAGCUGCUGGAGGUGGCUCAUCCAUGUCCGUGUGUUCCUCAGCUCCUGGAGGUGGCUCAUCCACGUCCAUGCGUUCCUCAGCUCCUGGAGAUGGCUCAUCCAUGUCCAUGUGCUCCUCAGCUCCUGGAGGUGGCUCAUCCAUGUCCAUGUGCUCCUCAGCUCCUGGAGGUGGCUUGUCCCUGCUGGCACACACUCCUCAGCUCCUGCCCCACAAGAGCUGGGUAAGCCUAGCCAGCCAAGCCACCCUCAUCUUUCUUUUUCUGCCCUUCAAAGCUGCAAACUCAUGAGGAAAGCUCUAAAAAUAGUUUAGGGUCUCGUCACAGUGACAAAUGCGCUCCUGCUGGAGCUAUAUCUGUCCCUGACGUGAGCGGUGCAGGAUACAGCCUGUUCUCCUGUGUCCCUCUGUGCCAGGGGCUCUGCUGUGACCUGCUCCAGCUGAACACCGUGCCCUGCACUGCCCUGCUCGUUCCUGCCUGGGGCACCCACACCUGCACACGAGUGUGGGAGUCCAGGGCUUCCCUCUGGCUGCCCUGGCAGGUCUGGGACCCUGGCAGGGGUCAGGAACCCCCCUGGACAGAGCCCCCAGAGACACUGGCUGUGAUCUCUGUCCAUGGAAAAGAGUUUUCAAUCUUACAGGAUCAAUUACAAGCUUUGAGUGUUUGAUAAGAGUAAUAAUUAAGUGUGGCACGGGUGCAAAAGUAAAAUUUUAGGAUUCUAGAUGAGGGGUUCAGAGGGGACAAGAUGGAGGAAUUGGGUGUGUCUUGUCCUUUUUCUCCUUCUUCAUGCCCUCCAUGUUUCACUGUGGUGUUGGCAUUUUUCUGUUGGUUCAGGCUGGGGACACACUGUCCAACGUAGGUGACAGAUAUUGGCACGUUAUUGUAAAUCCAGCACAGGUAGUUUGUGGUAUUUAAUGUUUGUACCAUCCCACUGAGGGCAGAGCCCCACACGCUGCCCUGCAGGACAGAG
This 1022-nucleotide long non-coding RNA is filed under the name Taeniopygia guttata (zebra finch). Its description in RNAcentral is "lncRNA (ENSTGUG00000021034.1)". The record is from RNAcentral. Lineage: Eukaryota; Metazoa; Chordata; Aves; Passeriformes; Estrildidae.